UGCUUCUAAAUUGUCUUAGUUACCCUUUCCCCUACUUUACCUCUAUUUGUUAACUACUUUGCAGAGCUCAUGCUGAUGAGAUAACUAAUGGACGCAAUUUAAACCUUGAUGUUGUUGAGAGGAUUCAAAACGAUAAGUUCCACGAAUGGUUCCAAGCUCAUAUAAAGAAAUUGGAGAAGGGAAAUGGCGUCCAUAGUAUUGAAAAGGAUAUUAGAUUGUUGGCCCGGGGCCCAGUUAAUGCAGCCAAAAGAUAUUGCGCUUUCAACUCCCGAGGCUACCAUUUUAGGCCUAAACGCUUGGAUAAAGAGACACAAAAUAGUGGAGUCAUGGUAACUGCAAAAACAUCUCGUUAUGAUUCAACACGCGAUGCUAAUGCAGUUUUACAGGAUGUGACGUACUAUGGGAGGGUAAUUGAUAUUGUCGAGCUAAACUACUCUGGAUAGUUUUCACUUGUGUUGUUUAGAUGUGAAUGGGUUAAUGUGUUCUCAGAAAAAGGAAUGAAAAAAGACAAGUACGGUUACACACUUGUCAAUUUCUCACAUCAAAUACACAAAGGAGAAAAGAUUGAGCAUGAGCCUUUUAUUUUCCCUAACCAGGCGAAUCAAGUGUUCUAUGUGAAAGAUGAAUUGAAUCCAGGUUGGUUUGUGGUAAUGAAGUUGCCAAAGCCUAGAAAUGUAUAUGACUUAGGUAACUUGGAAUGGGAAGAGGAGACAGAAAACCAGCCAUUUCAUGUUUCACAGCUUGGAGAGAUUUUGAAAAGAAAGAACAAUGACCAACACUGGGUUAGAACAGACGUUGAGGGGACAAUAGUGGAUGCUACUAGUGCUUCGAGCACCGAAGAAUAGUUGAGGUUAGUAGCAACAAGGUAUGCACUAUGUUCAGGUUUCGACUACAUGCUGCAUGGAGGCAUGGAGGGGUGGUGGCAUGUGUGCUUUGUGUUGGUACAGAACUGCUUGGUGGCUUCGUGCAGAGUAGCUAACAAACUUGCUUGACGAUAUACUAAUGUGUGAGACUAUGUGUUGGUUAAAACUUAGUGUACUCUUAUAUUUAUGCUUGAUAAUUUGGUUCGCUAUGACAUCACAUGCUUAUCUGGAACUUCAUUUUUUACUUUGAUCAACAACAGUUCAUAAUUAAGAUAACGCAACUUGUUUGGAAA
Long non-coding RNA from Hordeum vulgare subsp. vulgare (domesticated barley), 1156 nucleotides. RefSeq lists it as uncharacterized. The transcript is spliced from 3 exons. The record is from RefSeq and is a predicted model, not a curated record. NCBI's taxonomy places the organism in Eukaryota, Viridiplantae, Streptophyta, Magnoliopsida, Poales, Poaceae.